This 1382-nucleotide ribosomal RNA is filed under the name uncultured bacterium. RNAcentral's name for it is "bacterial SSU rRNA". It matches the Rfam family "Bacterial small subunit ribosomal RNA". The record is from RNAcentral.
GAAUUCGCCCUUAGAGUUUGAUCCUGGCUCAGGACGAACGCUGGCGGCGCGCCUAACACAUGCAAGUCGAACGAGCGAGAGAGAGCUUGCUUUCUCGAGCGAGUGGCGAACGGGUGAGUAACGCGUGAGGAACCUGCCUCAAAGAGGGGGGCAACAGUUGGAAACGACUGCUAAUACCGCAUAAGCCCACAGCUCGGCAUCGAGCAGAGGGAAAAGGAGCAAUCCGCUUUGAGAUGGCCUCGCGUCCGAUUAGCUAGUUGGUGAGGUAAUGGCCCACCAAGGCGACGAUCGGUAGCCGGGCUGAGAGGUUGAACGGCCACAUUGGGACUGAGACACGGCCCAGACUCCUACGGGAGGCAGCAGUGGGGAAUAUUGCACAAUGGGGGAAACCCUGAUGCAGCGACGCCGCGUGGAGGAAGAAGGUCUUCGGAUUGUAAACUCCUGUUGUUGAGGAAGAUAAUGACGGUACUCAACAAGGAAGUGACGGCUAACUACGUGCCAGCAGCCGCGGUAAAACGUAGGUCACAAGCGUUGUCCGGAAUUACUGGGUGUAAAAGGAGCGCAGGCGGGAAGACAAGUUGGAAGUGAAAUCCAUGGGCUCAACCCAUGAACUGCUUUCAAAACUGUUUUUCUUGAGUAGUGCAGAGGUAGGCGGAAUUCCCGGUGUAGCGGUGGAAUGCGUAGAUAUCGGGAGGAACACCAGUGGCGAAGGCGGCCUACUGGGCACCAACUGACGCUGAGGCUCGAAAGUGUGGGUAGCAAACAGGAUUAGAUACCCUGGUAGUCCACACUGUAAACGAUGAUUACUAGGUGUUGGAGGAUUGACCCCUUCAGUGCCGCAGUUAACACAAUAAGUAAUCCACCUGGGGAGUACGACCGCAAGGUUGAAACUCAAAGGAAUUGACGGGGGCCCGCACAAGCAGUGGAGUAUGUGGUUUAAUUCGACGCAACGCGAAGAACCUUACCAAGUCUUGACAUCCUGCGACGCACAUAGAAAUAUGUGUUUCCUUCGGGACGCAGAGACAGGUGGUGCAUGGUUGUCGUCAGCUCGUGUCGUGAGAUGUUGGGUUAAGUCCCGCAACGAGCGCAACCCUUAUCAUUAGUUGCUACGCAAGAGCACUCUAAUGAGACUGCCGUUGAUAAAACGGAGGAAGGUGGGGAUGACGUCAAAUCAUCAUGCCCCUUAUGACCUGGGCUACACACGUACUACAAUGGUGAUAAAACAGAGGGAAGCAACACAGCGAUGUGAAGCAAAUCCCGAAAAAUCAUCUCAGUUCAGAUUGCAGGCUGCAACUCGCCUGCAUGAAGUCGGAAUUGCUAGUAAUCGCGGAUCAGCAUGCCGCGGUGAAUACGUUCCCGGGCCUUGUACACACCGCCCGUCA